RNAcentral lists this ribosomal RNA (375 nucleotides) under uncultured organism. RNAcentral describes it as "partial 16S ribosomal RNA". It matches the Rfam family "Bacterial small subunit ribosomal RNA", at positions 527 to 896 of the family's 1533-position model. The record is from RNAcentral.
GUAGGUGGCAAGCGUUGUCCGGAAUUAUUGGGCGUAAAGCGCGCGCAGGCGGUUCUUUAAGUCUGAUGUGAAAGCCCACGGCUCAACCGUGGAGGGUCAUUGGAAACUGGAGAACUUGAGUACAGAAGAGGAAAGCGGAAUUCCACGUGUAGCGGUGAAAUGCGUAGAGAUGUGGAGGAACACCAGUGGCGAAGGCGGCUUUUCUGGUCUGUAACUGACGCUGAGGCGCGAAAGCGUGGGGAGCAAACAGGGAUUAGAUACCCUGGUAGUCCACGCCGUAAACGAUGAGUGCUAAGUGUUAGGGGGUUUCCGCCCCCUUAGUGCUGCAGCUAACGCAUUAAGCACUCCGCCGUGGGGAGUACGGCCGCAAGGCUG